Molecule: ribosomal RNA, 775 nt
Filed under: uncultured Neocallimastigales
Lineage: Eukaryota; Fungi; Neocallimastigomycota; Neocallimastigomycetes; Neocallimastigales
Description: partial large subunit ribosomal RNA
Rfam family: Eukaryotic large subunit ribosomal RNA
Source: RNAcentral
UCAUGUGAUCGUCUCUCGCAUAUCAAUAAGCGGAGGAAAAGAAACUAACAAGGAUUCCCCUAGUAACGGCGAGUGAAGCGGGAAGAGCUCAAAUUUGAAAUCUUAAAGGGUUUCCCUUUACGAAUUGUAGUUUAAAGAAGUGUUUUCUGUUGAGGUUUUGGUAAAAGUUCCUUGGAAUAGGACAUCAUAGAGGGUGAGAAUCCCGUAUUUGACCUUUACUUUCAACUUUGUGAUACACUUUCAAAGAGUCGGAUUGUUUGGGAAUGCAGUCCAAAAUGGGUGGUAAAUUUCAUCUAAAGCUAAAUAUUGGCGAGAGACCGAUAGCGAACAAGUACCGUGAGGGAAAGAUGAAAAGAACUUUGAAAAGAGAGUUAAACAGUACGUGAAAUUGUCAAAAGGGAAGCGUUUGACACCAGUGUUGUUUUUCUGAAAAUCAAUUAAAGAACUGUUUAUGCUAAGUUGUUUAGACUUUAUCAGCUAACUGUUUAGUUUUGAGCUUUUCUUCAAUGCACUUUUCAGUUAACAAGUCAACAUCAAUUUCUUUUGCUGUAAAAAAGCUUGAGGAAGGUGGCUUGAGAUUCGUCUUAAGUGUUUAUAGCCUCUUGCCUAUGCAGUCGGAGAGAUUGAGGUCUGCAGCGUAGAUCCUUCGGGGCUAAAUGCAUUUGUGCUAAGUUAUAGCAUUUUAUAGACAACUUGUUGACUAUGAUUUGUCUUGUAGCUUACUCGCUUAUGUUAUUUUACCUACGCUUAGGAUGUUGACACACGCGCGUGCUCG